Molecule: transfer RNA, 68 nt
Filed under: Parasesarma tripectinis
Lineage: Eukaryota; Metazoa; Arthropoda; Malacostraca; Decapoda; Sesarmidae
Description: tRNA-Gln
Source: RNAcentral
UAUUUGUUGAUGUUAUAGCAUAAAAAGUUUUGAUCUUUUAAGAAAUGGUGUAAACCCAUUACAAAUAA